This is a non-coding RNA of Pangasius djambal, 76 nucleotides long. NCBI's taxonomy places the organism in Eukaryota, Metazoa, Chordata, Actinopteri, Siluriformes, Pangasiidae. The record is from the annotation of a GenBank genome assembly.
GCCCGCGGUGGCUCAGAGGUUAAGGCUCUGGGUUAGUGAUCAGAAGGUCAGGAGUUCAAGCCACCACCUAUGGGCC